CCCCUAGUUCGGAUUGUAGGCUGCAACUCGCCUACAUGAAGCUGGAAUUGCUAGUAAUCAUAGGUCAGCAUACUAUGGUGAAUACGUUCCCGGGCCUUGUACACACCGCCCGUCACACCAUGAGAGUUGAGAAUACCCGAAGUCCAUGUCAAAGUGGCCGAAGGUAGGCUUGAUGAUUGGGGUGAAGUCGUAACAAGGUAAC
Molecule: ribosomal RNA, 202 nt
Filed under: uncultured bacterium
Lineage: Bacteria
Description: partial 16S ribosomal RNA
Rfam family: Bacterial small subunit ribosomal RNA
Source: RNAcentral